This is an RNA transcript of Helianthus annuus (common sunflower), 2085 nucleotides long. It is a transcript of the gene named chaperone protein ClpC4, chloroplastic-like, with no coding region annotated. The record is from RefSeq and is a predicted model, not a curated record. The transcript is spliced from 8 exons. Lineage: Eukaryota; Viridiplantae; Streptophyta; Magnoliopsida; Asterales; Asteraceae.
UACACCAUAUUCCUCUGUCCUACUCGCCAGAUCUAGAUCUGCACCAAAUUCCUCUCUCUGCAUUUUCAAAAUUUGAAUUCCCAAGUGGAAAGAGAGGAGAGGGAGACAGAGAGAGAACGAGAAAUAGAGAGAGAGAGAUGCGAUGGAGAAGGAGAGAUGACGGCAUGAGAAACCCUAAAUACAAAAUCGUUCAGAUCUUGAAGGAUUUCCGAUACGAAACCUUUGUUAGACGAAUAACAUGAAGCCGGUUUCUUCAUCCGUAUGCGGACAACCAGGUCAGUGAAAUUUGAAUCGCCUUUUUGAAGGUUUUCUUGAGUUGCAGCAGGAAACAGAGGCUGCAAGAAACCAAUUGGAGGCAAUGAAGCAAAAGAAACAAACUUUAGAAGCUGAAGUUAGGCUCUUGAGGCGUCGACGCAAAUUUUUAUUGAAAACGAGAACAUCAACUUCACAAGAAGUGAUUUUACCGAAUAUAGAAACAACCCAAUACAGGAAAAGCAAGAAGGAGAAGGUUAAUAACCCGAAGAAGGCUGCGACUUUGACGAAUUUGCCCCCGACUCCAAACGUAAUCCAGAGGGGGAAAAUGUAUACAAAGAAGAAAAACAUUAUUAAUAACUUGGGAAGAAAUGUAAAUUUGUAUGGUGUCGAUCUAAACCAAAGGGUUAUAGGGAACAAUUCAUUUCCAGUGACCGAAUUUGUUCAGAAAGAAACAGAAAACGGUGUUAGUGGUGAGAAACCGUUGGUUCAAGCGCGUGCUCCUAUAUUCGACUUGAACCAGAUAUCAUGUAUUGGGGCUACAACACUUGAUGAGUACCAGAAGCAUAUUGAGAAGGACCUAGCACUGGAGAGACGUUUCCAGCCCGUAAAGGUGCCCGAGCCCAUAGUUGAUGAAACCAUACAGAUUUUAAAGGGGCUUGGAGAAUGAUAAGAAUAUCACAAUAAACUCCGUUACACCGAUGAUGCUCUGGUAGCUGCUGCUCAGCUGUCAUAUUGUCCCUGAGGUUUGCGACUUUUGUCCCAAGGUUUGUUUUGUCGCAUUUGGUUCCAAAAGGUUUGAAAUCUUGCCAUUUCAUCCAGCUCAUCAACUCCGUCCAUUUUUCUCCAUUAGAUGAGGGGCAUUUCCGUCUUUUUAUACACUUUUUUUUAUUAAAAUAAAGACACUAUAAGAAAUAAAGAUUCACCUCUGUUGAUUUCUCCCCAUCCAAAUGCUUUAAUCAUCACAAAAAAAAUGUCUAAAAAGACGGAAAUGCCCCUCAUUUAACGGAGAAAAAUGGAUGGAGUUAACGAGUUGGAUGAAAAUUGCAAGAUUACAAACCUUUUGGAUCUAGAUGGGGAAAAACAAAUAGCAAGAGAAGACGAUAAGUUUGGAAGUUCAAUGGAGUUGGCCCGUCAAGAAAUAGAAUUGAAUCCAUCUCGAAGAUGACCCGUUUUAAGCUGGUUCAUUGCAAUUCUUUUGUUUUUGUUUUAUUUUAUAUUUUGUCUUGAUAUUCUUUAGGUUGGCAGGGAAACAAAUUGUUCUCUUGCUUGCCAGAGGCAUUAGCUGUGUACUGUUUCUAGAAAAGACAGCAAACCCACAACCAUCACUGCCCUUUCAUACUCAGGUAGACAUGGAUAUGGAAGAUGAGGACGCUUCUCAGGAAUCUGGAAGUACUGUUGGUGGAGGAAACAUGGUUGGAAGUAUUUUCUUUAUAUAGUCUACCUUCCACAACAUUUGAUCUUUAAUGUUGUUAGGUAUACCCCCUAUGACCAGCUAAAAGCUAUCAUCUUUGUUCACAAGGACUGCCUUUUACAUUGGCUCAAUCACAGCAAAGCGACAAUGCGAGAGGUGGAAAGCUUCACGGGUUGGGUAACUUGUCAAAACGGGCUUACGGGUCAGGGGGAAGAAACAAGGCAAGACAUCUGAGAGGGAUGUGAACAAGGUAAAGGUGGAUGAGAGGUCACAGUAACAAGUAUCAAAUAUUCAGCUGCAAAGGGGUCGAAAAGAUUGACUUGUAGUUAACUGAAGUUUACUAAAAUUGUUAAAUUUGUGAUGAUUUAUGAAGAUGGUUUCCAGUUAUGUUUGCGUACGAAAAGCCUGCCACUUUUGCG